This 202-nucleotide small nucleolar RNA is filed under the name Triticum urartu. Its description in RNAcentral is "Plant small nucleolar RNA U3". It matches the Rfam family "Plant small nucleolar RNA U3". Rfam says of the family: Small nucleolar RNAs (snoRNAs) are involved in the processing and modification of rRNA in the nucleolus. Lineage: Eukaryota; Viridiplantae; Streptophyta; Magnoliopsida; Poales; Poaceae. The record is from Rfam by way of RNAcentral.
UCGACCGUAAGUACCGUACCGACGACUUGUCCUGUGGCUGCAAUGUAGGCAAGCACUUCAGUCUGGUUGAUGCAUUCUGACCUCUGGCCAGAGCAUGAUUAACGGCCUGGAUCACCUGAUGGGUGCCAUCCGACGGCUGUAGAGGAUCGUUCCUCUCCAGUUCACAUUGGUGCAGGGUGGCUCAGAGGUUGUCUGACAGACU